GAUGAACGCUAGCGGCAGGCUUAAUACAUGCAAGUCGAGGGGCAGCACGGUUAGCAAUAACUGGUGGCGACCGGCGCACGGGUGCGUAACACGUAUACAAUCUACCUUAAACAGGGGAUAGCCUUUCGAAAGAGAGAUUAAUACCCCGUAAUAAAUUGAACGGCAUCGUUUGAUUUUGAAAGCUCCGGCGGUUUGAGAUGAGUAUGCGUCUGAUUAGCUAGUUGGUGAGGUAACGGCUCACCAAGGCGACGAUCAGUAGGGGAUCUGAGAGGACUAACCCCCACACUGGUACUGAGACACGGACCAGACUCCUACGGGAGGCAGCAGUAAGGAAUAUUGGUCAAUGGAGGCAACUCUGAACCAGCCAUGCCGCGUGCAGGAUGACGGCCCUAUGGGUUGUAAACUACUUUUAUACAAGAGAAAACCCUGGUACGUGUACCAGGUUGAUAGUAUUGUAAGAAUAAGCAUCGGCUAACUUCGUGCCAGCA
This 488-nucleotide ribosomal RNA is filed under the name uncultured bacterium. Its description in RNAcentral is "bacterial SSU rRNA". It matches the Rfam family "Bacterial small subunit ribosomal RNA", at positions 28 to 513 of the family's 1533-position model. The record is from RNAcentral.